GAUGAACGCUAGCGGGAGGCUUAACACAUACAAGUCGAGGGGUAUGGUAGCAAUACCAGAGACCGGCGCACGGGUGAGUAACGCGUAUGCAACCUGCCCUUUACAGGGGGAUAGCCCGUCGAAAGGCGGAUUAAUACCCCAUAAGAUGGUACUGCCGCAUGGCAGAGCCAUAAAAGCUUCGGCGGUAAAGGAUGGGCAUGCGUGACAUUAGCUAGUUGGCGGGGUAACGGCCCACCAAGGCUACGAUGUCUAGGGGUUCUGAGAGGAAGGUCCCCCACACUGGUACUGAGACACGGACCAGACUCCUACGGGAGGCAGCAGUGAGGAAUAUUGGUCAAUGGGCGCGAGCCUGAACCAGCCAUCCCGCGUGCAGGAAGACGGCCCUAUGGGUUGUAAACUGCUUUUGUGCAGGAAGAACGCUCAAUACGUGUAUUGAAGUGACGGUACUGCAUGAAUAAGCACCGGCUAACUCUGUG
RNAcentral lists this ribosomal RNA (476 nucleotides) under uncultured bacterium. RNAcentral's name for it is "bacterial SSU rRNA". It matches the Rfam family "Bacterial small subunit ribosomal RNA", at positions 28 to 507 of the family's 1533-position model. The record is from RNAcentral.